GAGGGUAUAGCUCAGUGGUAGAGUGUGUGCUUAGCAUGCACAAUGUCCUGGGUUCAAUCCCUAGUACCUCCA
RNAcentral lists this transfer RNA (72 nucleotides) under Camelus bactrianus (Bactrian camel). It matches the Rfam family "tRNA". Rfam says of the family: Transfer RNA (tRNA) molecules are approximately 80 nucleotides in length. Their secondary structure includes four short double-helical elements and three loops (D, anti-codon, and T loops). The record is from Rfam by way of RNAcentral. Lineage: Eukaryota; Metazoa; Chordata; Mammalia; Artiodactyla; Camelidae. RNAcentral also lists the same sequence under 2 other names.